This 797-nucleotide ribosomal RNA is filed under the name Toxicocladosporium losalamitosense. Its description in RNAcentral is "partial large subunit ribosomal RNA". It matches the Rfam family "Eukaryotic large subunit ribosomal RNA", at positions 94 to 915 of the family's 3401-position model. The record is from RNAcentral. Lineage: Eukaryota; Fungi; Ascomycota; Dothideomycetes; Cladosporiales; Cladosporiaceae.
UGAAGCAGAGCAACAGCUCAAAUUUGAAAUCUGGCGUCUCCGGCGUCCGAGUUGUAAUUUGUAGAGGAUGCUUCUGGGUAGCCUCCGGUCUAAGUUCCUUGGAACAGGACGUCAUAGAGGGUGAGAAUCCCGUAUGCGACCGGAAAGGCGCCCUAUACGUAGCUCCUUCGACGAGUCGAGUUGUUUGGGAAUGCAGCUCUAAAUGGGAGGUAAAUUUCUUCUAAAGCUAAAUAUUGGCCAGAGACCGAUAGCGCACAAGUAGAGUGAUCGAAAGAUGAAAAGCACUUUGGAAAGAGAGUUAAAAAGCACGUGAAAUUGUUGAAAGGGAAGGGAUUGCAACCAGACUUGCUCGCGGUGUUCCGCCGGUCUUCUGACCGGUCUACUCGCCGCGUUGCAGGCCAGCAUCGUCUGGGGCCGCUGGAUAAUACUUGAGGAAUGUAGCUCCCUCGGGAGUGUUAUAGCCUCUUGUGAUGCAGCGCGCCCCGGGCGAGGUCCGCGCUUCGGCUAGGAUGCUGGCGUAAUGGUUGUAAUCCGCCCGUCUUGAAACACGGACCAAGGAGUCUAACAUCUAUGCGAGUGUUCGGGUGUCAAACCCCUACGCGUAAUGAAAGUGAACGGAGGUGGGAACCGCAAGGUGCACCAUCGACCGAUCCUGAUGUCUUCGGAUGGAUUUGAGUAAGAGCAUAGCUGUUGGGACCCGAAAGAUGGUGAACUAUGCCUGAAUAGGGUGAAGCCAGAGGAAACUCUGGUGGAGGCUCGCAGCGGUUCUGACGUGCAAAUCGAUCGUCAAAUUUGGG